Molecule: unclassified non-coding RNA, 444 nt
Filed under: uncultured Chytridiomycetes
Lineage: Eukaryota; Fungi; Chytridiomycota; Chytridiomycetes
Description: sequence contains ITS2
Rfam family: 5.8S ribosomal RNA (bases 1-154)
Source: RNAcentral
AACUUUUAACAACGGAUCUCUAGGCUCUCGCAACGAUGAAGAACGCAGCGAAAUGCGAUACGUAAUGUGAAUUGCAGAAUUCCGUGAAUCAUUAAAUCUUUGAACGCACAUUGCGCCUGUUGGUAUUCCGACAGGCAUGUCUGUUUGAGAAUCAGUUCAACUAUCACCGCUGCUGGGGGAACCCAGAGUGGUGGAUUUGGGAUGCGUGGGCCACCCACCAGCCUGGAAACCAUAUGUGCGCUGAUCUGAGCCAGAACCAGCCCAAAGGCAUGACCAAGAACGCAAGUUCAUACCGAUUGCUGACUAGGACUGCGGAGGCGGCAGUGACGAGCCAAAACUCUUACAAAGCACGACGUUCAAGACGAGCUCUUGGCAGCUUUAAGACUCGAUCUCAAAUCAGACAAGACUACCCGCUGAACUUAAGCAUAUCAAUAAGCGGAGGCU